This 460-nucleotide ribosomal RNA is filed under the name uncultured bacterium. RNAcentral's name for it is "partial 16S ribosomal RNA". It matches the Rfam family "Bacterial small subunit ribosomal RNA", at positions 338 to 795 of the family's 1533-position model. The record is from RNAcentral.
CCUACGGGAGGCAGCAGUGAGGAAUAUUGGUCAAUGGGCGCGAGCCUGAACCAGCCAAGUAGCGUGAAGGAUGACUGCCCUACGGGUUGUAAACUUCUUUUAUAAAGGCAUAAAGUGAGGCCCGUGUGCCUUUUUGUAUGUACUUUAUGAAUAAGGAUCGGCUAACUCCGUGCCAGCAGCCGCGGUAAUACGGAGGUUCCGAGCGUUAUCCGGAUUUAUUGGGUUUAAAGGGAGCGUAGAUGGGUUUUUAAGUCAGUUGUGAAAGUUUGCGGCUCAACCGUAAAAUUGCAAUUGAUACUGGCAGCCUUGAGUACAGUUGAGGUAGGCGGAAUGCGUGGUGUAGCGGUGAAAUGCUUAGAUAUCACGAAGAACUCCGAUUGCGAAGGCAGCUUACUAAACUGCCACUGACAUUGAUGCUCGAAAGUGUGGGUAUCAAACAGGAUUAGAUACCCUGGUAGUC